RNAcentral lists this ribosomal RNA (429 nucleotides) under Gemmatimonadota bacterium. RNAcentral describes it as "Gemmatimonadetes bacterium partial 16S ribosomal RNA". It matches the Rfam family "Bacterial small subunit ribosomal RNA", at positions 355 to 776 of the family's 1533-position model. The record is from RNAcentral. Lineage: Bacteria; Pseudomonadati; Gemmatimonadota.
UAGGGAAUCUUCGGCAAUGGACGAAAGUCUGACCGAGCAACGCCGCGUGAGUGAAGAAGGUUUUCGGAUCGUAAAACUCUGUUGUUAGAGAAGAACAAGGACGUUAGUAACUGAACGUCCCCUGACGGUAUCUAACCAGAAAGCCACGGCUAACUACGUGCCAGCAGCCGCGGUAAUACGUAGGUGGCAAGCGUUGUCCGGAUUUAUUGGGCGUAAAGCGAGCGCAGGCGGUUUCUUAAGUCUGAUGUGAAAGCCCCCGGCUCAACCGGGGAGGGUCAUUGGAAACUGGGAGACUUGAGUGCAGAAGAGGAGAGUGGAAUUCCAUGUGUAGCGGUGAAAUGCGUAGAUAUAUGGAGGAACACCAGUGGCGAAGGCGGCUCACUGAUCUGUAACUGACGCUGAGGCUCGAAAGCGUGGGGAGCAAACAGG